Triplophysa dalaica is the source of this 877-nucleotide long non-coding RNA. RefSeq lists it as uncharacterized. The transcript has 3 exons. The record is from RefSeq and is a predicted model, not a curated record. Lineage: Eukaryota; Metazoa; Chordata; Actinopteri; Cypriniformes; Nemacheilidae.
CUGGGUUGAGCCUGUUGGGUCAUUUUGUUGGGUUAUUUUCUUAGUGUUGGGUCAUUUUUUGAGUAACCCAAACGCUGGGUUACCAGUCGGGUCCAAUUGAGUGACAGUUGAGAGAGUAAACCCCUCCCACUCCUCUACGCAUCAGACAAACUUUACCUUCGCGGGCAUUUUGAUCCACUUCAUCUCGGAAAGCUCUUAUUCGGAGAAUAAAAGGUUGCAGAAUAACAGCUAAUAUUAAUGGAUCAUUCCAUUCAAGAGAAAGUCAACUGGAACGUGGAUGUUUUCAUAACAGGCUUAAAGAUGAACAAAUUGAUAAAGAAACCCUCCUGCUGGACAUCCACUUCCAAAAGUGCACACCACACUGUUGUCUACAACUCCUAGGAAAAGAAUCCUCUUAAGUAAGACUGCUCCGUGGAUAUGUCAGGUUAAGCAGUGCUGAAACCGAAAGAACUAACACUAUUUAAAAUGUUUUGUGAGUUUAUAUGAAGAGGAAAGUUACGGUGUCCCUUUUUCACAUCCAUAACGCUUGUUUAUUUCUUUUUUUAUAGAAAACUUGUGCAUAGACUUAUAUUUUAACAUAUAAAUGCGGUUCUAUUAACAAGGGUUUAGUAAAAUACUUUUUAUAGCGUUUUGAAGUGUUAAGUUGUCUAACUAUUUAUAUUUACUUGUGCCACUUUAAUAACCUUGUUAAAUGUAUAUGUUAAAAUCUAAACUAAUGUAAUUUAUUGAAAUUAAUGUUCUUUAAAUAUGUAUAAACAUACAUUUCAUCAAAGUGUUUUAUAUGCCAUUUUAUUGUUCAUUGAGCAUAACAUAUUGCAUGUUUUUAUGAAUUCCUUUUGUCUUGCAUUUUGAUCCUUAAUAAAACUAUUGAUUCUUA